This 784-nucleotide ribosomal RNA is filed under the name uncultured Glomus. RNAcentral describes it as "SSU rRNA". It matches the Rfam family "Eukaryotic small subunit ribosomal RNA", at positions 328 to 1114 of the family's 1831-position model. Lineage: Eukaryota; Fungi; Glomeromycota; Glomeromycetes; Glomerales; Glomeraceae. The record is from RNAcentral.
GUAGGAUAGAGGCCUACCAUGGUGGUAACGGGUAACGGGGUGUUAGGGCACGACACCGGAGAGGGAGCCUGAGAAACGGCUACCACAUCCAAGGAUGGCAGCAGGCGCGCAAAUUACCCAAUCCCGACACGGGGAGGUAGUGACAAUAAAUAACAAUACGGGGUUCUUUCGGAUCUCGUAAUUGGAAUGAGUACAAUUUAAAUCUCUUAACGAGGAACAAUUGGAGGGCAAGUCUGGUGCCAGCAGCCGCGGUAAUUCCAGCUCCAAUAGCGUAUAUUAAAGUUGUUGCAGUUAAAAAGCUCGUAGUUGAAUUUCGGGGUCAGUAGGUUGGUCAUGCCACUGGUAUGUACUGGUCUCACUGAUUCCUCCUUCCUGAUGAGCCGUAAUGCCAUUAAUUUGGUGUUGCGAGGAAUCUGGACUGUUACUUUGAAAAAAUUAGAGUGUUUAAAGCAGGCUAACGCUUGAAUACAUUAGCAUGGAAUAAUGAAAUAGGACGUUCGAUCUUAUUUUGUUGGUUUCUAAGAUUGACGUAAUGAUUAAUAGGGAUAGUUGGGGGCAUUAGUAUUCAAUUGUCAGAGGUGUAAUUCUUGGAUUUAUUGAAGACUAACUACUGCGAAAGCAUUUGCCAAGGAUGUUUUCAUUAAUCGAGAACGAAAGUUAGGGGAUCGAAGACGAUCAGAUACCGUCGUAGUCUUAACCAUAAACUAUGCCGACUAGGGAUCGGAUGAUGUUUAUUUUUUAAUGACUCAUUCGGCGCCUUACGGGAACCAAAGUGUUUGGGUUC